GCUUAACACAUGCAAGUCGAGGGGCAUCAGGAAGAAAGCUUGCUUUCUUUGCUGGCGACCGGCGCACGGGUGAGUAACACGUAUCCAACCUGCCCUUUACUCGGGGAUAGCCUUUCGAAAGAAAGAUUAAUACCCGAUGGCAUAAUGAUUCCGCAUGGUUUCAUUAUUAAAGGAUUCCGGUAAAGGAUGGGGAUGCGUUCCAUUAGGUUGUUGGUGAGGUAACGGCUCACCAAGCCUUCGAUGGAUAGGGGUUCUGAGAGGAAGGUCCCCCACAUUGGAACUGAGACACGGUCCAAACUCCUACGGGAGGCAGCAGUGAGGAAUAUUGGUCAAUGGGCGCUAGCCUGAACCAGCCAAGUAGCGUGAAGGAUGAAGGCUCUAUGGGUCGUAAACUUCUUUUAUAUAAGAAUAAAGUGCAGUAUGUAUACUGUUUUGUAUGUAUUAUAUGAAUAAGGAUCGGCUAACUCCGUGCCAGCAGCCGCGGUAAUACGGAGGAUCCGAGCGUUAUCCGGAUUUAUUGGGUUUAAAGGGAGCGUAGGUGGACUGGUAAGUCAGUUGUGAAAGUUUGCGGCUCAACCGUAAAAUUGCAGUUGAUACUGUCAGUCUUGAGUACAGUAGAGGUGGGCGGAAUUCGUGGUGUAGCGGUGAAAUGCUUAGAUAUCACGAAGAACUCCGAUUGCGAAGGCAGCUCACUGGACUGCAACUGACACUGAUGCUCGAAAGUGUGGGUAUCAAACAGGAUUAGAUACCCUGGUAGUCCACACAGUAAACGAUGAAUACUCGCUGUUUGCGAUAUACAGUAAGCGGCCAAGCGAAAGCAUUAAGUAUUCCACCUGGGGAGUACGCCGGCAACGGUGAAACUCAAAGGAAUUGACGGGGGCCCGCACAAGCGGAGGAACAUGUGGUUUAAUUCGAUGAUACGCGAGGAACCUUACCCGGGCUUAAAUUGCAGUGGAAUGAUGUGGAAACAUGUCAGUGAGCAAUCACCGCUGUGAAGGUGCUGCAUGGUUGUCGUCAGCUCGUGCCGUGAGGUGUCGGCUUAAGUGCCAUAACGAGCGCAACCCUUAUCUUUAGUUACUAACAGGUUAUGCUGAGGACUCUAGAGAGACUGCCGUCGUAAGAUGUGAGGAAGGUGGGGAUGACGUCAAAUCAGCACGGCCCUUACGUCCGGGGCUACACACGUGUUACAAUGGGGGGUACAGAAGGCAGCUAGCGGGUGACCGUAUGCUAAUCCCAAAAGCCUCUCUCAGUUCGGAUCGAAGUCUGCAACCCGACUUCGUGAAGCUGGAUUCGCUAGUAAUCGCGCAUCAGCCACGGCGCGGUGAAUACGUUCCCGGGCCUUGUACACACCGCCCGUCAAGCCAUGGGAGCCGGGGGUACCUGAAGUACGUAACCGCAAGGAUCGUCCUAGGGUAAAACUGGUGACUGGGGCUAAAUCA
This 1439-nucleotide ribosomal RNA is filed under the name uncultured organism. RNAcentral's name for it is "SSU rRNA". It matches the Rfam family "Bacterial small subunit ribosomal RNA". The record is from RNAcentral.